GUGCCAGCCGCCGCGGUAAUACGGAGGGGGCAAGCGUUACUCGGAAUUAUUGGGCGUAAAGGGCGCGUAGGCGGCCGCGUGCGUCAGAGGUGAAAUCCCCCGGCUUAACCGGGGACCUGCCUCUGAUACGGCGCGGCUUGAGUCCGGGAGAGGGGAGCAGAAUUCCCAGUGUAGCGGUGAAAUGCGUAGAUAUUGGGAGGAAUACCGGUGGCGAAGGCGGCUCCCUGGACCGGUACUGACGCUGAGGCGCGAAAGCGUGGGUAGCAAACAGGAUUAGAUACCCUCGUAGUCC
Molecule: ribosomal RNA, 292 nt
Filed under: uncultured bacterium
Lineage: Bacteria
Description: partial 16S ribosomal RNA
Rfam family: Bacterial small subunit ribosomal RNA
Source: RNAcentral